UCCAGAGGUGCAGCGCUCAGGCCGUGAAGCAUUCCUGAUUGACUCACAUUAUGUCAUCUGUGACUGCUUGUCACAAGAAUUGAAACGAGGCAAAGACGCAUACAAAAAUGUGGAGGAGAAAUUUGGUUUCCUUACUAAAACGAAAUCAAUGGACAUUGAACAAAUCCAUGCAGCCACAGAAAAGCUGAAGAAAAUAUACCCUCAGGAUCUUGAGGAGGACUUUACAGCAGAGUUUUGCCAGUUCAUCUCAAUGGUAAAAGAUGAAGAAUCAGUCAUGGCCAUGUACAAGAAGCUCCUAGAGCUAGGCUUGAGGGAUGCUUUCCCUAAUGUGGACAUUUGCCUUCGCAUGUAUCUGACAUUACCGAUUGCAAACUGUUCAGGAGAAAGAUCAUUUUCUUUGUUGAAACGAGUGAAAACAUACCGGAGAGCAACAGUAACAGAAAAAAAACUGAAUGCCUUUGCCCUGUUGGCAAUUGAGAAUGGAUUUACAACCUCCCUGGAUUUUGAAGACAUUAUCGAGGACUUCGCCUCAUCAAAACUUAGGAGAAAGCAUCUGUAAAGAUCGUGAUGAUGCUGUCAAGACGUGUUUCUGCUGCGAUGGAGGCCUGCGAUGCUGGAAGGCUGAAGAUUAUCCCUGAGUGGAGCAUGCUAAAUGGUUUCCUCAGUGUGAAUAUGGGCUCCAGGAGAAGGGACAAGAAUUUUUGUUCACCCAAUUCAGGCUCGUUUUCCUUGGCUGUCUGAGCAGAGUGCAGUCUAGUAAAGCACACCGUCCAGAGAAACAUCCAGACCAGUGGAGAGAACUGCUGAACAGUCCAGACCAGGAGCUGAGCUGCUGAGUGUUGAAUACCAGAAAAUGGAAGAGAGGUGAUGGUUGUCCAUGAAAAUAAACAUC
This is a long non-coding RNA of Pleuronectes platessa (European plaice), 892 nucleotides long. RefSeq lists it as uncharacterized. The record is from RefSeq and is a predicted model, not a curated record. NCBI's taxonomy places the organism in Eukaryota, Metazoa, Chordata, Actinopteri, Pleuronectiformes, Pleuronectidae. The transcript is spliced from 4 exons.